Cebus imitator (Panamanian white-faced capuchin) is the source of this 463-nucleotide long non-coding RNA. RefSeq lists it as uncharacterized. The transcript has 2 exons. Lineage: Eukaryota; Metazoa; Chordata; Mammalia; Primates; Cebidae. The record is from RefSeq and is a predicted model, not a curated record.
GUGUGGUGGACUUGACCAAUGCAUUCCUCUCAAUCCACAUAGCUCCAGAGAGCCAGGAAGAGUUUGCCUUCAUGGGAGGGCGACAGUGGACUUUCAUUGCGUUGCUGCAGGGCUAUAUGCAUAGCCCCAUUAUAUGUUUUCUUAUUAAUGAUGAUGUUGUGUUAACCUCUGGUUCUUUUGCAGGUGUGGAAGCAGCAACACCCCUCUUGCCAGGGAUUUGGAUGAUGAGGGUGAAACAGCCUUUCUGAAGGCAUAAGCCCUGUGGGUAGUUAACUAGGGGUGCCCAUUUAAAGCCCAUGCUGCCGGGUUGGGAGAAGCUGGCUGCAGAGUCCUUAGCCCUGACACAUGGAGCACAAAAGCCCCAGGGCAGGACACAUAGGAAGGAGGUUCGGAACAGGGAUCUUAUCAUCAACAUCCUGACGAUUUCCACUGCAUGAUGCAAAGCCCUGUAACAUUUUUACUU